This 462-nucleotide ribosomal RNA is filed under the name uncultured bacterium. RNAcentral describes it as "partial 16S ribosomal RNA". It matches the Rfam family "Bacterial small subunit ribosomal RNA", at positions 28 to 507 of the family's 1533-position model. The record is from RNAcentral.
GAUGAACGCUGACAGAAUGCUUAACACAUGCAAGUCAUUGGCGAAGCUGCGCUUGCGCAGUCUAGCCAAGGCGGACGGGUGAGUAACGCGUAAGGAACUUGCCCUGCAGACAGGGAUAACAGACGGAAACGACUGAUAACACCUGGUAUUGUCAGGCUGGCGCAUGCCGGCCUGAUGAAAGGAGACGCUGCAGGAGAGCCUUGCGUCCUAUUAGCUAGUUGGUGGGGUAACGGCCCACCAAGGCGAUGAUAGGUAGCCGGCCUGAGAGGGUGAACGGCCACAAGGGGACUGAGAUGCGGCCCUUACUCCUACGGGAGGCAGCAGUGGAGAAUAUUGGACAAUGGGGGCAACCCUGAUCCAGCAAUUCUGUGUGCACGAAGAAGGUUUUCGGAUGGUAAAGUGCUUUCAGCAGGGAAGAAGAAAGUGACGGUACCUGCAGAAGAAGCGACGGCUAAAUACGUG